UGGGAUACCACUUGGAAACAGGUGCUAAUACCGGAUAACAACAAUAGCUGCAUGGCUAUUGCUUAAAAGGCGGCGAAAGCUGUCGCUAAAGGAUGGACCCGCGGUGCAUUAGCUAGUUGGUAAGGUAAUGGCUUACCAAGGCGACGAUGCAUAGCCGAGUUGAGAGACUGAUCGGCCACAUUGGGACUGAGACACGGCCCAAACUCCUACGGGAGGCAGCAGUAGGGAAUCUUCCACAAUGGGCGAAAGCCUGAUGGAGCAACGCCGCGUGAGUGAAGAAGGUUUUCGGAUCGUAAAGCUCUGUUGUUGGUGAAGAAGGAUAGAGGUAGUAACUGGCCCCUAUUUGACGGUAAUCAACCAGAAAGUCACGGCUAACUACGUGCCAGCAGCCGCGGUAAUACGUAGGUGGCAAGCGUUGUCCGGAUUUAUUGGGCGUAAAGCGAGCGCAGGCGGAAGGAUAAGUCUGAUGUGAAAGCCCCCGGCUUAACCGAGGAAUUGCAUCGGAAACUGUGUUUCUUGAGUGCAGAAGAGGAGAGUGGAACUCCAUGUGUAGCGGUGGAAUGCGUAGAUAUAUGGAAGAACACCAGUGGCGAAGGCGGCUCUCUGGUCUGUAACUGACGCUGAGGCUCGAAAGCAUGGGUAGCGAACAGGAUUAGAUACCCUGGUAGUCCAUGCCGUAAACGAUGAG
This 688-nucleotide ribosomal RNA is filed under the name uncultured bacterium. RNAcentral describes it as "bacterial SSU rRNA". It matches the Rfam family "Bacterial small subunit ribosomal RNA", at positions 139 to 813 of the family's 1533-position model. The record is from RNAcentral.